GACGUAGGGCGCGAGCGUUGUUCGGAAUUACUGGGCGUAAAGGGCGCGUAGGCGGCCUUCUAAGUCGAACGUGAAAUCCCUGGGCUCAACCCAGGAACUGCGUCCGAUACUGGGAGGCUUGAAUCCGGGAGAGGGAUGUGGAAUUCCAGGUGUAGCGGUGAAAUGCGUAGAUAUCUGGAGGAACACCGGUGGCGAAGGCGGCAUCCUGGACCGGUAUUGACGCUGAUGCGCGAAAGCCAGGGGAGCAAACGGG
RNAcentral lists this ribosomal RNA (253 nucleotides) under uncultured bacterium. RNAcentral's name for it is "partial 16S ribosomal RNA". It matches the Rfam family "Bacterial small subunit ribosomal RNA", at positions 524 to 776 of the family's 1533-position model. The record is from RNAcentral.